CCUCUCCCCUGAUGACUUGCACUGGGCUCUGAGUUUAUUUGAAGAGGACGUGCAUCUUUGGCCCUGACAAGCCAGAGUUUCUGAGGAGACU
Molecule: small nucleolar RNA, 91 nt
Organism: Scophthalmus maximus (turbot)
Lineage: Eukaryota; Metazoa; Chordata; Actinopteri; Pleuronectiformes; Scophthalmidae
Source: Ensembl